CCUACGGGAGGCAGCAGUGGGGAAUAUUGGACAAUGGGGGCAACCCUGAUCCAGCCAUGCCGCGUGAGUGAUGAAGGCCUUCGGGUUGUAAAGCUCUUUUGGUGGGGACGAUGAUGACGGUACCCACAGAAUAAGCUCCGGCUAACUUCGUGCCAGCAGCCGCGGUAAUA
This 170-nucleotide ribosomal RNA is filed under the name uncultured Rhodospirillaceae bacterium. RNAcentral describes it as "partial 16S ribosomal RNA". It matches the Rfam family "Bacterial small subunit ribosomal RNA", at positions 338 to 525 of the family's 1533-position model. Lineage: Bacteria; Pseudomonadati; Pseudomonadota; Alphaproteobacteria; Rhodospirillales; Rhodospirillaceae. The record is from RNAcentral.